This 247-nucleotide ribosomal RNA is filed under the name uncultured bacterium. RNAcentral's name for it is "partial 16S ribosomal RNA". It matches the Rfam family "Bacterial small subunit ribosomal RNA", at positions 8 to 248 of the family's 1533-position model. The record is from RNAcentral.
AGAGUUUGAUCAUGGCUCAGGAUGAACGCUAGCGGCAGGCCUAACACAUGCAAGUCGAGGGGGCAGCACGGUGUAGCAAUACACUGGUGGCGACCGGCGCACGGGUGCGUAACGCGUAUGCAACCUACCCAUAACAGGGGGGAUAACACUGAGAAAUUGGUACUAAUACCCCAUAACAUCAGGACCGGCAUCGGUUCUGGUUGAAAACUCCGGUGGUUAUGGAUGGGGCAUGCGUUGUAUUAGCUGG